UGUUGGUGAGGUAAUGGCUCACCAAGCCCUCUAUGGAUAGCUGGUCUGAGAGGAUAUCAGCCACACUGGCACUGAGACACGGGCCAGACUCCUACGGGAGCAGCAGUGGGGAAUUGGCAAUGGGCGAAGCUGACGCGGACCCGCGUGGGUGAGAGCCUUCGGGUCGUAAACCUGUGAGGGGGAAGAACAGCCAGCAUUUCGAAUAGGGUGCUGGUCUGACGGUACCCCUUGAGGGAAGCACCGGCUAACUCCGUGCCAGCAGCCGCGGUAAUACGGAGGGUGCAAACGUUGUUCGGAAUUACUGGGCGUAAAGGGCGAGCAGGCGGUAUGGCAAGUCAGGUGUGAAAGCCCUCGGCUCAACUGAGGAACUGCACUUGAAACUGCUUUACUUGAAUCCGGUAGAGGGAGGCGGAAUUCCUGGUGUAGAGGUGAAAUUCGUAGAUAUCAGGAGGAACACCGGAGGCGAAGGCGGCCUCCUGUGGCCGGUAUUGACGCUGAGGCGCGAAAGCGUGGGGAGCAAACAGGAUUAGAUACCCUGGUAGUCCACGCCGUAAACGAUGUUCACUAGGUGUCGCGGGUAGUUUAAACCCUGCGGUGCCGCAGCAAACGCGAUAAGUGAACCGCCUGGGGAGUACGGUCGCAAGAUUAAAACUCAAAGGAAUUGACGGGGGCCCGCACAAGCGGUGGAGUAUGUGGUUUAAUUCGAAGCAACGCGCAGAACCUUACCUGGGUUUGACAUCUCCGGAACAUCCUGGAGACAGGAUGGUGCCCUUCGGGGAGCCGGAAGACAGGUGCUGCAUGGCUGUCGUCAGCUCGUGUCGUGAGAUGUUGGGUUAAGUCCCGCAACGAGCGCAACCCUUGCCCUUAGUUACCAGCACAUUAGGUGGGGACUCUAAGGGGACUGCCCCGGUGAACGGGGAGGAAGGUGGGGAUGACGUCAAGUCCUCAUGGCCCUUAUGCCCAGGGCUACACACGUACUACAAUGGUCGGUACAAAGGGUUGCGAACCCGCGAGGGGGAGCCAAUCCCAAAAAGCCGGUCACAGUUCGGAUAGGAGUCUGCAACUCGACUCCUUGAAGUCGGAAUCGCUAGUAAUCGCGGAUCAGCAUGCCGCGGUGAUACGUUCCCGGGCCUUGUACACACCGCCCGUCACACCAUGGGAGUUGUCUGGACCAGAAGUCGCCGGCCCAACCCGCAAGGGAGGGAAGCGCCGAAGGUCUGG
This 1221-nucleotide ribosomal RNA is filed under the name uncultured organism. RNAcentral's name for it is "bacterial SSU rRNA". It matches the Rfam family "Bacterial small subunit ribosomal RNA", at positions 247 to 1467 of the family's 1533-position model. The record is from RNAcentral.